AUUGAACGCUGGCGGUAGGCCUAACACAUGCAAGUCGAACGGCAGCACAGUAAUAGCUUGCUCUUACGGGUGGCGAGUGGCGGACGGGUGAGGAAUACAUCGGAAUCUACUUUUUCGUGGGGGAGAACGUAGGGAAACUUACGCUAAUACCGCAUACGACCUACGUGUGAAAGCAGGGGAUCUUCGGACCUUGCGCGAUUGAAUGAGCCGAUGUCGGAUUAGCUAGUUGGCGGGGUAAAGGCCCACCAAGGCGACGAUCCGUAGCUGGUCUGAGAGGAUGAUCAGCCACACUGGAACUGAGACACGGUCCAGACUCCUACGGGAGGCAGCAGUGGGGAAUAUUGGACAAUGGGCGCAAGCCUGAUCCAGCCAUACCGCGUGGGUGAAGAAGGCCUUCGGGUUGUAAAGCCCUUUUGUUGGGAAAGAAAAGCAGCAGGUUAAUACCCCGCUGUUCUGACGGUACCCAAAGAAUAAGCACCGGCUAACUUCGUG
RNAcentral lists this ribosomal RNA (492 nucleotides) under uncultured bacterium. RNAcentral's name for it is "partial 16S ribosomal RNA". It matches the Rfam family "Bacterial small subunit ribosomal RNA", at positions 30 to 507 of the family's 1533-position model. The record is from RNAcentral.